RNAcentral lists this ribosomal RNA (346 nucleotides) under uncultured bacterium. RNAcentral describes it as "bacterial SSU rRNA". It matches the Rfam family "Bacterial small subunit ribosomal RNA", at positions 917 to 1267 of the family's 1533-position model. The record is from RNAcentral.
GGGCCCGCACAAGCGGUGGAGCAUGUGGUUUAAUUCGAUGAUACGCGAGGAACCUUACCAGGGUUUAAAUGCAGAACGACAGGGGUGGAAACACCCCUUCUUCGGACGGACUGCAAGGUGCUGCAUGGUUGUCGUCAGCUCGUGCUGUGAAGUGUCGGGUUAAGUCUCAUAACGAGCGCAACCCCCAUUUCUAGUUGCCAGCGGUUCGGCCGGGGACUCUAGAGAAACUGCCAGCGUAAGCUGUGAGGAAGGUGGGGAUGACGUCAAAUCAUCACGGCCCUUACAUCCUGGGCCACACACGUGCUACAAUGGUAGGGACAACAGGUUGCCAACCCGCGAGGGUGAG